UUGUUAGAAUAAAAAAAUAAAUAUACUAUUUUCAAGUUAAUUUACGAUAAACGCUUGCUAAUAUAAUUCUUGUUAAAGUUAAAAAUCAAAAAGAAGUUAACAACAAUUCCACUGACAAUUCUUGUUAUUCCCGCCCCAAAAAUCCCCAAACCCAAUUUGAAGAAAUUCUCUCGACGUACUCUCAAUAUCAGACCUAGAUUUUGAUUCUGCAAUUUCUUGUGCGAUUGUGAAGAUGAUGAUUAGAUGGCUGUUCGUAUUGGCAAUGGCAUUUAAGUUCUUCGGCAGAAUAUGGGGAAAAUGUUUUCGUCAUAAGAGGUAUCGAAAGGAAUUUGAGGAUUUGCCAUUCGAUGUAACAAUUCAGAUAUUGAAAUAUUUGGGUGCAAAACAGUCUGCCAAAAUGUGCGUUAUCAAUAAGAGAUUCAAAUCAAUAGUGUCCGACGAUCACCUCUGGAUGUACUUUCUUCAGGAGGAGGAUCCUUGUGGCCUUUUUGCUGAAAGUCAUCUCCGAAGUCUUCGGACGCUUCCCUCAGCACCCAGCUUGUCAUGGAUGACUAUUUAUGGUCAACGUGCUCAAGUGCCGAGGGCUGUUAUAAUUGAUGGUGGGUUAGGCUAUGCCAGAUUUGGUUGGAGCAAGGAUAGUGCUCCAUCAAGGACAUCAGAAAUAUCCUUGGUUUUUCGUGACAUUGAGCAUCUUCAGAAUUCUCUUGAUGUAUAUGGCUAUUUUUUUACUAUAUAGACCAGGAUGCAAGCGGAAAGGUCAAGACAGCCAAUCAUUGUGUCCAUGCCUAUUUGCCAUCAUGAUGGUUUUGAAUAUGAAAAAGCAGCUAAAAGGCAUGAAGAAGCUAUUGUUUCAACGUUAUUCAACAUGGAUGUGCCUGCAGUUUGUGUUGUCAACGAGGCCGUGUUAGCUUUAUUUUCUGCAAGGGAACUUUCCGGCAUAGUAGUCCAUAUUAGGAUUCACUAGACAUCUGUUGUUCCAGUUCGUCAUGGUGAAAUCAUGCACCUGGUGGGUGUGAAUGCUACGGAAAUUGGAGCAUUGAAGGUCAUGGAGUUCCUUAAGAAACAGCUGGAAGAUCAUAACAUAUACUAUGGGAGAUAUUUCACUGAUAAGGCAUUAAGAGAGGAGGCUAUGGGCUCAAGCACGGCUGCUAAUUUUUUGCAUUCGUGCAAGAUGAGCUGUUAUGUAGCUCAGGAUUAUGAAGCUGAGCUAUCAUCCAAAGAUAGCAAACUCAUUCUUGUGUUACCGGAUGAUAGCAACAUUACUCUUUCUGUAGAGUGUUUCAGAACCGGAGAGGUUCUGUUUCGGCCAUAUCUUGCAAGAAUGAAUGCUAUGAGUUUGCAGGAUGUUGUAACAUCCUGCAUAAAGAAUUGUCAUGAAGCUAGUGGCGGAUGAUGACAAUUGGUAUAAGACAAUUGUUUUGGCUGGGGUGUGUGCUUGUAUGCCCGGAUUAGCAGGGAGAUUAGAGAAGGAAGUCCUUGGACUUCUUCCCCCAUCCAUGACCAGUGGCAUCAGAGUUCUUCCGCCCCCGUAUGGCACCGAUUCUGCAUGGUUUGGGGCUCUAUCGAUUGGCAAUUUGAGCACCUUCCCCACUUCCUGAUGUCGGCAGAGGUCAUGAUGCAAACAGCACACUGGUUUUAUUGCCUCUUCUAUAUUGAUAUUUUAAUUUUAGCUUUACUGCAUGGGCAAUUAUGGAAGCUGCAGUCAUUAAUCAUCCAUGACUGGACAGGUUUUGUAGCUGCUUACAAUGUUCUACUUAGGAUUAGUUUUUUACUUCCAGAGGUAAUACUUGGUCGAUGAAAGGGAUUUUGUCUGUGAUGCUCCUAGGAUUGGCUUACACGUUCCAUCUUGUAUCCUCAGCCAUAUAUACUGUUAGGGGGUCAACUAUAAUCGAUCUAACCCACUAAGACAGUCUAAAGACUUAGACUCAAGAGACCUUUUUACUUUUUCUUUCACGUUUUAGAUUAACUUUAGACAAGCAUACGAACGUAGAACAGACAAUCACUUUACAGGAACAAGCCCCAUCUUUGUAUCAAACUCGCGCCACAAAGAAGCACACAAGUAGUUUAGCCUACAAAAUUCGACCAAAGAUCUUGUGCCCAAGAAUGGUCUUCCUGUGCCUUUAAAUAGGCUACGAUGCCUAGUCACAUGCCCAUGAAUUCAGUUGAUAAGCUAAAUUCAAACUACAAGCCUUAUCUAAAAUGCGGACAAAGCUCCAACGGCUAGAAACUGCCCACGCAUGUGCGAGGCACAUGCGAGCAGCCUUCAACAUUGACGUCAAAAUCACUCUUCAGUCGCCCAAUCUCACGCCUGCUCACGUACUAGUCAUGUGCGCUAGUCCUGCCUCGCCUGGCUUGCCAUUGGGGUGCAAUCUCCUUAGCCACUGCCCUUGUCCAGCACAUAGCCUUCAACUUGUUUAGCCACGACUUUGUCACGGUCACAUCCUCGGCUUGCCUUGCCUUAGCCUGCCCAGCUCUUGUCAUGUCUUAACCACAUCUUGCCUCACAUACCUUCUUUUUUCCAGCACUUGUCACGUCUUAGCCACGCCUUGCCUUGCAUGCCUUAACCACGCCACUGCCAAGGUCUUCUUUUAAUUAAACUUAACGUUGACUGAAGUCAUUGGGCGUUGACUAGGUUCAUCAUGUAAAUUCCUAGCCAAGCCCGAACUGCUCAAACCAUCAAGUUGAGGGUCUAAUAGAUACCUUAUACCCAAAAAACAAUAAUGAUAGCACAUGUGAUGAAUACAUAUCAACCAUGUUUUGUGCACAAGUACUAAUAAAAUUAGUCAUUCCCAAAGUCACGGAGGAGAAAUACUAUGGUGCCAAAAGGAAGUCCAGUAGUUAAAGAGGCCACAAUUGUCCAUUUAGACCUUCUUUACUCACUGUGAACUAUUAUAUUCAUGGGAAAAAUAAAUUGUUGUACUGUUUGAGUUUCUAUGCUGCAAUAGUGUAAACCUCAAAGUCAUCCUUUUUAUAGGAGAACUAAGUAUAACUUUCAACUCUCAGUUUAUUGGAGAGCUUCAUAAUUCUUUUUCCAUUAACUAGGAAGUUACAUCUUGCUCCAUUCAUGACCCAUUAAAGGUGUAGCAUUAGUUCUUACAAGCACCAACUCCUAUAUCCAUAAUCUUAAUCUAGAAUGUUUCUUCUUUGCAUACUACCUUGGGCCACUUCAAAGCUACAAGAACACAUCUUCACAAGGGAAAAAGUUGCAACGAUAUAGUAUUCCAGUUGAUAAUGUUAAUUUGUUAAUAUGACAGUUGCGUCCAAGUAGUAUUCUAGCGGGGAAAACGGGGAUCCAGUUCAUUACAAUUUGUUUUUAGUUUUAUGACCAUUUUAUAAGAGACCACCCAUAUAAUUUUUAAACUUAAGAUAGCCAUCGUAACCCAUUAUAACCAACUUCUACAUGUUAUUUAUUUUUAUUUUGAUUUUAUCCACAGAUUUGUAGGAAUAAGGAUAGGUAUAAAUCUUAGCUAUAUAUAUAUUCCUUUAAACGAGCUAAAUUAAAUAGUUUUUAUUUAUUAAAUAGAUAUAGGAAUAUAUUUAGUGUGUAUGUUACUUGUAAACAUUAUACAUAGAUGAAUAAUUAUUACAUAAUCUAUAUAUAAUUUUUAUGUAUGUCUUGUACAUUAAUUGUACACUUCUUAUACAUUAAAUAUAGACCUAUAACCAUUUAAUGAUGCACAGAAUAUAAUAGGAAGGUUAUAAGUUAGAAAAAAGGCAUUUCUCCUGCACUCUUCAAUGCUUUCUCAAUAUUCUACAACUAAAAGAAUCACCAUGCUAUCCAUUCUUUUUGGAUACAACAGUGAAAUCCGAGAAGUGGGUUUGGGAGAGUAGAAUGUACGAGACUUUAUCCCUCCGCGUGGAGGUAAGGAGGAUGUUUUGGGAAGACUCUUGGCUCGAGUACAACAAAUCAAUCCACUCUAUGGUAUACAUUUCACAUUUUUUAUGAAGUCACUAUCUCAACUUUUGGACCAUUUUCUAUUUAAUACAGCAAAAAGGAUCAACACUUACCUUAAUAUUCAUGUAAAACAAAGUAGCUCAUCUUGAGAAACUCUUCUGAACCCUUAACAGGUUGUUUGUUAGUUGAACAAAACUCUUGGUGAUACUCUUACUAGUUACUUUUGCAAGCUCUUGAAGCGUUGGCGACCUGUAAUACAUGAAUCAAAGUACAAAAUUUUGACAAUGGCCACAAUAAGCUGAACCAAUGGAAAAUUCAAUGCAUUGUUUCUCAACACAUAUUUGUAAAGUAGUUCAGGACAAUUUACUUUACCAAUCUCAGACAGGAAGAAAAACGAUUAGAACAAAUAUGGUGUAUGCAACAUGAACCUAUCUCAUAAGCAUGAGUGCAUGAAAAGCUAAAGGCUAAUUCGAUAUCGCUUUAUGCAUACAUAUGAGAUCACACGUUCAUUGUGAUCCAUGACUUGUUAGGAAUCUGAGGAGGAUGUAGUUAUGUCUCCUUUUCUGGUGAUCCCUGCAUCCAUAUAAUAAUUGUUAGUCUUGGAGAGUUCUGUCGCCUUGCUCUUUUCAAUUGUCUUGGCUCCUCCUUGUUGACUUAGGAAUGGGGUUUUCGGUUCCAUUUUGUACAUAAUUAGUUCUUCAUGUAUCUGAGAUGCAUGCCUGAAAUAUGCAUGUAUCUGAAUCAUGAAAAGUGGUAAAAUGUGUAAUUAGGUAAACUAGUGUUUUAAAGGGUAAUUGGGUUCUAAAGAUGUGAGUUACCCAUAUUUUUAGGCAUGUUAUUGCUAAAUAUGUUUGGAUCGAAAAAAUACCAAUACACGAACUUCAGUCCCUCAAAAAUUUUACUGUUACGCCCCAAUUAUGUAGUAAGAAGCUUGAGGCCCAAUCCAUCCAAUAAUAGCAAUGAAACGACCAAUGGAAUAUUUUGUCAAAGUGGCUAAAGAUGAGCCUUUAUUUUGGCUAAUAACCAAAAAAAAAAAUACGCAAUUUCAACUAUGCUCGAGUUCACAGUUAAAAGCUGGUCAGAAGUACUAGUGAGAUUUUGGAACUUAAUAAGGUGUGUGUUGGUUUAUUCCUAUUUUCUUGAUUAGAAACUUUGAAAAAUAAUUUUUUUUAUGACAACAAGUUCCUUGAAUAUAAGGAAAAUGAAUACGUUUACUUGUCCUUGUAGGAUGUUCGCAUCCAAGAAGAUGUCUUUUGAUCUAUGUAAUGUACCUGUCACUGUUUAGAGGUUUGUCCUUGUAGUAUGUUCGCAUUCAAAGAAGAUGUCUUUUGAUCUAUGUAAUGUACCUGUCACUAUUUAGUAUUUAGAAGUGCAUAUGUUAGAAAUUUUUAUGAA
This is a non-coding RNA of Solanum lycopersicum (tomato), 5290 nucleotides long. The record is from RefSeq and is a predicted model, not a curated record. Lineage: Eukaryota; Viridiplantae; Streptophyta; Magnoliopsida; Solanales; Solanaceae.